AUCCAGAUGACGAGUCCUAAAUAGGACGAAAUGGAUAUCCUGGAU
RNAcentral lists this non-coding RNA (45 nucleotides) under Trichobilharzia regenti. The record is from RNAcentral. Lineage: Eukaryota; Metazoa; Platyhelminthes; Trematoda; Strigeidida; Schistosomatidae.